Molecule: ribosomal RNA, 295 nt
Filed under: Wolbachia pipientis
Lineage: Bacteria; Pseudomonadati; Pseudomonadota; Alphaproteobacteria; Rickettsiales; Anaplasmataceae
Description: partial 16S ribosomal RNA
Source: RNAcentral
GGCGUAAAGGGCGCGUAKGCGGAUUAGUAAGUUAAAAGUGAAAUCCCAAGGCUCAACCUUGGAAUUGCUUUUAAAACUGCUAAUCUAGAGAUUGAAAGAGGAUAGAGGAAUUCCUAGUGUAGAGGUGAAAUUCGUAAAUAUUAGGAGGAACACCAGUGGCGAAGGCGUCUAUCUGGUUCAAAUCUGACGCUGAGGCGCGAAGGCGUGGGGAGCAAACAGGAUUAGAUACCCUGGUAGUCCACGCUGUAAACGAUGAAUGUUAAAUAUGGGAAGUUUUACUUUCUGUAUUACAGCU